UACGUAGGGGGCUAGCGUUGUCCGGAUUUAUUGGGCGUAAAGAGCGUGUAGGCGGCCAGGUAGGUCCGCUGUGAAAGUCCGAGGCUCAACCUCGGAAUGUCGGCGGAAACCCUCUGGCUAGAGUCCGGAAGAGGAGAGUGGAAUUCCCGGUGUAGCGGUGAAAUGCGCAGAUAUCGGGAAGAACACCCGUGGCGAAGGCGGCUCUCUGGGCCGAUACUGACACUGAGGAGCGAAAGCGUGGGGAGCGAACAGG
This 253-nucleotide ribosomal RNA is filed under the name uncultured bacterium. RNAcentral describes it as "partial 16S ribosomal RNA". It matches the Rfam family "Bacterial small subunit ribosomal RNA", at positions 524 to 776 of the family's 1533-position model. The record is from RNAcentral.